GGUUGUAGCUCAGUGGUAGAGCACCUGCCUAGCAUGUGUGAGGCACUGGGUUUGAUUCUCAGCACCA
This 67-nucleotide transfer RNA is filed under the name Marmota monax (woodchuck). RNAcentral describes it as "tRNA.Ala". It matches the Rfam family "tRNA". From Rfam's summary of the family: Transfer RNA (tRNA) molecules are approximately 80 nucleotides in length. The record is from RNAcentral. Lineage: Eukaryota; Metazoa; Chordata; Mammalia; Rodentia; Sciuridae.